GAUGAACGCUGGCGGCGUGCCUAAUACAUGCAAGUCGAGCGAACAGACGAGGAGCUUGCUCCUCUGACGUUAGCGGCGGACGGGUGAGUAACACGUAGGUAACCUACCUAUAAGACUGGGAUAACUUCGGGAAACCGGAGCUAAUACCGGAUAAUAUUUUGAACCGCAUGGUUCGAUAGUGAAAGAUGGCUUUGCUGUCACUUAUAGAUGGACCUGCGCCGCAUUAGCUAGUUGGUAAGGUAACGGCUUACCAAGGCAACGAUACGUAGCCGACCUGAGAGGGUGAUCGGCCACACUGGAACUGAGACACGGUCCAGACUCCUACGGGAGGCAGAAGUAGGGAAUCUUCCGCAAUGGGCGAAAGCCUGACGGAGCAACGCCGCGUGAGUGAUGAAGGUCUUCGGAUCGUAAAACUCUGUUAUUAGGGAAGAACAAAUGUGUAAGUAACUAUGCACGUCUUGACGGUACCUAAUCAGAAAGCCACGGCUAACUACGUG
This 497-nucleotide ribosomal RNA is filed under the name uncultured bacterium. RNAcentral's name for it is "partial 16S ribosomal RNA". It matches the Rfam family "Bacterial small subunit ribosomal RNA", at positions 28 to 507 of the family's 1533-position model. The record is from RNAcentral.